This 422-nucleotide ribosomal RNA is filed under the name uncultured prokaryote. Its description in RNAcentral is "bacterial SSU rRNA". It matches the Rfam family "Bacterial small subunit ribosomal RNA", at positions 355 to 774 of the family's 1533-position model. The record is from RNAcentral.
UAAGGAAUAUUGGUCAAUGGGCGGGAGCCUGAACCAGCCAUGCCGCGUGCAGGAAGACGGCCUUAUGGGUUGUAAACUGCUUUUAUCGGGGAAUAAACCUGCUUACGUGUAGGCAGCUGAAGGUACCCGAAGAAUAAGCAUCGGCUAACUCCGUGCCAGCAGCCGCGGUAAUACGGAGGAUGCAAGCGUUAUCCGGAUUCAUUGGGUUUAAAGGGUGCGCAGGCGGAAUGAUAAGUCAGUGGUGAAAUUCAACGGCUCAACUGUUGACCUGCCAUUGAUACGUUCGAUCUAGAGUAGAGUUGGAGUGGGCGGAAUGUGUCAUGUAGCGGUGAAAUGCUUAGAUAUGACACAGAACACCGAUCGCGAAGGCAGCUCACUAAGCUAGAACUGACGCUCAUGCACGAAAGCGUGGGGAUCAAACA